This 397-nucleotide ribosomal RNA is filed under the name uncultured bacterium. RNAcentral describes it as "bacterial SSU rRNA". It matches the Rfam family "Bacterial small subunit ribosomal RNA", at positions 28 to 428 of the family's 1533-position model. The record is from RNAcentral.
GACGAACGCUGGCGGCGUGCUUAACACAUGCAAGUCGAGCGGUAAGGCCCUUUCGGGGGUACACGAGCGGCGAACGGGUGAGUAACACGUGGGUGACCUGCCCUCAGUCUCUGGGAUAAGCCCGGGAAACUGGGUCUAAUACCGGAUAUGACUCCAUGACGCAUGUUGUGGGGUGGAAAGCCUUGUGCGGCUAGGGAUGGGCCCGCGGCCUAUCAGCUUGUUGGUGGGGUGAUGGCCUACCAAGGCGACGACGGGUAGCCGGCCUGAGAGGGCGACCGGCCACACUGGGACUGAGACACGGCCCAGACUCCUACGGGAGGCAGCAGUGGGGAAUCUUGCGCAAUGGGCGAAAGCCUGACGCAGCGACGCCGCGUGAGGGAUGACGGCCUCGGUGUAA